Molecule: long non-coding RNA, 977 nt
Filed under: Homo sapiens (human)
Lineage: Eukaryota; Metazoa; Chordata; Mammalia; Primates; Hominidae
Source: RNAcentral
GGAGGUCAGAGCUCGGCGGGGUGCGGCUAGUGGCGGAGCGCGCUGCGAGGGGAGGGCUUUCCACUGUCGCUGGCGUGAACUCGCGUGCCCGGUGGGUAUCAGGGAAGAACCCCCGCCCCGGACCCCCAGAUCUGCCAUGGCCGAGGUAGCGAUCGUCUCUGCGGCCACGAAGACUGUUUUAACUUGUACCACUUUCCCUUCCAUUUUUCCUGGGGUGCCUCUCACCCUGCAUCUGCGCGUUCAGCAAGCUGGAUUUCGGGAAUGCUCAGUUCAGAAGAGAAAAAAUUGCCGGGAAUCAAGUCCUUCUUUUUGUUAGUCGGUAGUCGAUUGAUGGGAAGUGUUCAAAAUCAUUCGAUGUGGUGACAAGGCUUCACCAGGUACUGCCUUCUAACGAGCUGGCCAUUUCCACAUGUCAGAUAGGACCAACUUGCCUUUUAACUACCCGUGUGAUACUUAAACACUGUUGCCGGUAUCACAGCUUUUCUUCAAAACAGGGCAGUCAGUGAAGGCUCCCCAGGGGAGAUGACGUUUGAGCCGAGUUUCAGAAGAUGAUUGGAGUUUACCACGUGUUCACAGGAAGCAACGAGAAUGAGGGCAUUCCAGUAGCAGGAGACAGCAUGCAUAGAGAUGCUGAUGAAGAAAGAGCCUAGCGCACGUGGGAAACUGCAAAAGUUCAGACUGGUUGGAAUGCUGGAAAUGUUGUGAAUGACAGGAGAUGAGGCUGGCGAGAAAACAGAGGUCAGAUUGUGGAAGGCUGUCAAGCCAAAGACUUUGAUUUUAUUCUUGAGAUUGAUGAGAUGUGUGUAAUCCAGGAGUGUGCAAAACAAUCUGUAAGGGUUCAGAAAACAUACUGCUUCUAUAUAUAGUUACCUUUGUCUUAACUUGAAAAUUUCAAAUUGUGUAGGAGUUACAAUGUGUGUAAUUGUUAUUAUAGUACUGGAUCCAAAUAAUUUAUAAAUAAAUAAAUAUAGACAUAA